This is a long non-coding RNA of Dicentrarchus labrax (European seabass), 1846 nucleotides long. RefSeq lists it as uncharacterized. Lineage: Eukaryota; Metazoa; Chordata; Actinopteri; Moronidae. The record is from RefSeq and is a predicted model, not a curated record. The transcript has 3 exons.
AAGGAUUUGGAUGAAGGGAGGUAGAGAGGAUAGAGUGUGGAGAGGCAGGGAGGAAGCCCAUCCCUCUCCUCCACCACGUGCCCCGCUGAAGCAGAUGGCGCUGUGUGGCUCUGCCAUGCCGCCACGAUCGCCUUCUGAGGACUGCUGCCAUAAGGAGGCAGGUUAGUAGGAGAUUUGGGGUGACAGUGUUUGGCAUGGGCUACAAAGUGAAGAUGUAGGGAGGGAGAAAGCGCUUGGUGCCUUGGGCUGACACAAAGAAUUUCCAAGAAGCAGUAAGGAGGAGUAACAACAUCGUCUGUGUGAUAAGAAGUAGCAUGGGCUUUUGGAAAAGGAAUGAAGACAAAGUCUGUGGAAGGCAGUUUCCUCAGAGGGAGGGGCCAGAACUGUAUGUGUGGGGAAAUUCUGGGUCAAUCAAUAACCCCUGAUUUUCCAACUCGUACCAACGACUUUGAGAAUGACAUGGUUGGUUUUUGUGUGUACCAUCACUUCCAUGUGGCACCAUGCUGCCAGAACAGUUUGCUGUAUGAAAGGACUUGAACAAAACUUGCAGAUGUGUCUUUGUAUUACUGAUAAAAGAAAAAAAAACAGUCACUUACAAUAACAAUAACGUUAUCCAGGGUAGAAUUGUUUUUACAGCGUGGUUAAUGUAUCAUUAGUGAUGAAUUUGGUUUUAGAUAUAAAUAUAAUCGCUGAAUCUAUACACUAAAUAUGUUUUAUGACUUUGAAUAUACACCUUUGUAAGAAGGCUGAUGAAUUUGCAGUGCUGCUUCCAAUCAUUCUGCCAUUAUGCCUCAUCAUUUCACUCACUGCUCUUUUCAGAGAAGCAGAUGUGAAUGAGUCUGUGUGUGUGCAUACACUGUUUGUGGUUGAAAGUGUGUGUAUGAGAGAGAGAGAGAGAGAGAGAGAGAGAGAGAGAGAGAGAGAGAGAGAGAGAGAAAGACAGAGAGAGAGAGUUAGCCAAAUAGCCCUCUCUUUUGAAACCCAGAGGGCCUGGCUGACUCCAGUCUCCAACAUGGCCGCCAUAAAUCAGUGAGAGAAGGAGCUAAGUUAAUUGCACAGGCAUUUAUGAAGGAGAAAGCCUUGAUUUACUCCAAAAGCUUUACAUCUCCCCUGUGGAUGUGGAGUGAUGAAAGGAGUGGAGCAAGGGAAAAUGGGAGGAGGGGCACGGUGGUGGGGACAGGGAUAGCACAUGCGGGGUGUGAACAAAGUUCACUUGCAGCAUAUUAGAUAAGCUGAUUGGUGAACUAGAUUGUGGACAGAUAUUCAUCUAUUGCCUUGGGAAUAAUUAUCAAAACUUGAUAGAAGUCAGGGUGACUUUGGUUUAGAUAGGAAAUGUUGAUUAUGGAGUCAAAUAACUGGAUAUUGGAUGUGCAAGUUAUCUGACAUUUGCAUAAUGUAAAUACUUUGAAACAAACAUAGGCAUGUAACAAUUAGGUGCAGUCUAUGUAUCUAGUCCUCCCGCUUGACAAAGGUUUACAUUCAAUUUCUUCAAGGAAAAGCAGGCCCUCACACACUAGAGGUGGACAGCAUUGUACUUUUUCUGACAUUUUUGUGGUACUGGUACUUUAGUAGUAUUAGUAUUCUUAUUUUGAGAGUAUUAACAAUUUGAACCCAUUACAUUUCAAAAGAGGAAUCUUGUAAUGUGUGUAUUGUUGAUUAUAUUUACCUGCCACCACACAAUCAUGCAAAAGCUACAAUAACCUUAAAUUAUGAUGCAUUAUUGUAGUUUCAUUUACAUCUCAUUGUAUGAGGUUGUUAUUGUAUGUCUAGUGCUGCCUGAACCGUCUGCAUUUUUACAAUAUGUCAAGUUUGUCAUUGCAAUAAAAAUGUUUGAAUGGCCAUUAAA